This 292-nucleotide ribosomal RNA is filed under the name uncultured bacterium. RNAcentral describes it as "partial 16S ribosomal RNA". It matches the Rfam family "Bacterial small subunit ribosomal RNA", at positions 505 to 796 of the family's 1533-position model. The record is from RNAcentral.
GUGCCAGCCGCCGCGGUAAUACGUAGGCAGCAAGCGUUGUUCGGAAUUACUGGGCGUAAAGAGUGCGUAGGUGGUUGGCCAAGUUUGGUGUGAAAUCUCCCGGCUUAACUGGGAGGGUGCGCCGAAAACUGGCCGGCUAGAGUGUGGGAGAGGGAAGCGGAAUUCCAGGUGUAGCGGUGAAAUGCGUAGAUAUCUGGAGGAACGCCUGCGGUGUAGACGGCUUCCUGGACCAUGACUGACACUGAGGCACGAAAGCGUGGGUAGCAAACAGGAUUAGAAACCCUGGUAGUCC